AACGUAGGAGGCGAGCGUUAUCCGGAUUUACUGGGCGUAAAGCGCGUGCAGGCGGUUUGGAAAGUUGGAUGUGAAAGCUCCUGGCUUAACUGGGAGAGGUCGUUCAAUACUUCCAGACUAGAGGAUGUGAGAGGAAAGCGGAAUUCCGAGUGUAGUGGUGAAAUGCGUAGAUAUUCGGAGGAACACCAGUGGCGAAAGCGGCUUUCUGGCACAUUUCUGACGCUCAGACGCGAAAGCUAGGGUAG
RNAcentral lists this ribosomal RNA (245 nucleotides) under uncultured bacterium. Its description in RNAcentral is "partial 16S ribosomal RNA". It matches the Rfam family "Bacterial small subunit ribosomal RNA", at positions 524 to 768 of the family's 1533-position model. The record is from RNAcentral.